RNAcentral lists this ribosomal RNA (787 nucleotides) under uncultured bacterium. Its description in RNAcentral is "bacterial SSU rRNA". It matches the Rfam family "Bacterial small subunit ribosomal RNA", at positions 636 to 1423 of the family's 1533-position model. The record is from RNAcentral.
UNUGACUUGAGUGCAGAAGGGGAGAGUGGAAUUCCAUGUGUAGCGGUGAAAUGCGUAGAUAUAUGGAGGAACNCCAGUGGCGAAAGCGGCUCUCUGGUCUGUCACUGACGCUGAGGCUCGAAAGCGUGGGUAGCGAACAGGAUUAGAUACCCUGGUAGUCCACGCCGUAAACGAUGAGUGCUAGGUGUUAGGCCCUUUCCGGGGCUUAGUGCCGGAGCUAACGCAAUAAGCACUCCGCCUGGGGAGUACGACCGCAAGGUUGAAACUCAAAGGAAUUGACGGGGGCCCGCACAAGCGGUGGAGCAUGUGGUUUAAUUCGAAGCAACGCGAAGAACCUUACCAGGUCUUGACAUCCCGAUGCUAUUCUUAGAGAUAGGAAGUUACUUCGGUACGUCGGAGACAGGUGGUCCAUGGUUGUCGUCAGCUCGUGUCGUGAGAUGUUGGGUUAAGUCCCGCAACGAGCGCAACCCUUAUUGUUAGUUGCCAUCAUUAAGUUGGGCACUCUAGCGAGACUGCCGGUAAUAAACCGGAGGAAGGUGGGGAUGACGUCAAAUCAUCAUGCCCCUUAUGACCUGGGCUACACACGUGCUACAAUGGUCGGUACAACGAGUUGCGAGCCGGUGACGGCAAGCUAAUCUCUGUAAGCCGAUCUCAGUUCGGAUUGGAGGCUGCAACUCGCCUCCAUGAAGUCGGAAUCGCUAGUAAUCGCGGAUCAGCACGCCGCGGUGAAUACGUUCCCGGGCCUUGUACACACCGCCCGUCACACCACGAGAGUUUGUAACACCCG